This 253-nucleotide ribosomal RNA is filed under the name uncultured bacterium. Its description in RNAcentral is "partial 16S ribosomal RNA". It matches the Rfam family "Bacterial small subunit ribosomal RNA", at positions 524 to 776 of the family's 1533-position model. The record is from RNAcentral.
UACGUAGGGUGCAAGCGUUGCCCGGAUUUAUUGGGCGUAAAGGGCGCGUAGGCGGCUCUGCACGUUCGUUGUGAAAUCGCCCGGCUCAACUGGGCGGGGUCAGCGGAUACGGCAGAGCUUGAGCAAGCUAGGGGGCAAUGGAAUUCCCGGUGUAGUGGUGGAAUGCGUAGAUAUCGGGAGGAACACCAGUGGCGAAGGCGGCUCUCUGGGACGGUACUGACGCUGAGACGCGAAAGCGUGGGGAGCGAACAGG